GUGCUCGCUUUGGCAGCACAUACACUAAAAUUGGAAUGAUACAGAGAAGAUUAGCAUGGCUCUUGCACACAGAUGACACGUAAAUUUGUGAAGGAUUCCAUAAAUUU
This 107-nucleotide small nuclear RNA is filed under the name Mandrillus leucophaeus (drill). Lineage: Eukaryota; Metazoa; Chordata; Mammalia; Primates; Cercopithecidae. The record is from RNAcentral.